RNAcentral lists this unclassified non-coding RNA (504 nucleotides) under uncultured Glomus. Its description in RNAcentral is "SSU rRNA". It matches the Rfam family "Eukaryotic small subunit ribosomal RNA", at positions 569 to 1077 of the family's 1831-position model. The record is from RNAcentral. Lineage: Eukaryota; Fungi; Glomeromycota; Glomeromycetes; Glomerales; Glomeraceae.
AGCAGCCGCGGUAAUUCCAGCUCCAAUAGCGUAUAUUAAAGUUGUUGCAGUUAAAAGCUCGUAGUUGAAUUUCGGGGUUAGCAGGUCGGUCGUGCCAUCGGUAUGAACUGGUCUCGCUGAUCCCUCCCUCUUGACGAACUGUGAUGCCAUUAAUUUGGUGUCGCAGGGAAUCAGGACUGUUACUUUGAAAAAUUAGAGUGUUUAAAGCAGGCUCACGCUUGAAUACAUUAGCAUGGAAUAAUGAAAUAGGACGUUUGAUCCUAUUUUGUUGGCUUCUAGGAUUGACGUAAUGAUUAAUAGGGAUAGUUGGGGGCAUUAGUAUUCAAUUGUCAGAGGUGAAAUUCUUGGAUUUAUUGAAGACUAACUACUGCGAAAGCAUUUGCCAAGGAUGUUUUCAUUAAUCAAGAACGAAAGUUAGGGAUGAAGACGAUCAGAUACCGUCGUAGUCUUAACCAUAAACUAUGCCGACUAGGGAUCGGAUGAUGUUAAUUUUUUAGUGUACUA